AAGAAUACUGAAAACUUAAAACUUAAAACUAGUAGUCUUGAAUUAUCCAGAAAAAACUUAAAACAUAACAAACGAUUAUCAAUUUGUCAAACAAUAACUACUAGACAACUAUGGCUCGACAUCUAUCAUCUUCGUAUUCUCUGAUGGAAUGAAGGUGCAUUUAGGCCCAGGCAGAUCCCGAGUGUAACUAAGAUAUCCAUUAGAUGCCUUGUUCACUCCAUAAUUCCAUAACAAUGACGUGUAUCUGAUACGAUGCAACCCCGAAUUAAACUCUGAAGAAGGUAUUGAAUCCCAUCACUUAAAAACACAGCAUAUGCCUCAAUAAAUAAUCCAAAAUCCCUACAAAAUAUCUUGAUUUUGACCCAAAACAGGUGUUGCAGAAGAUUUUGAUUCCUUUAUCUUUCAGAACUUCUGUAAGUCUGUCUACUACAUUGAGCUUGUGAGCACUGUCAUAUCUUAAGUUGUGGUAAGAUCGAUUUUUUACAACUAAAUUAAAAUUUUGCCAAAAACAAAUAUUGAGAAUAACACAAAUUAAACAAUGAUUCAUAUGUUAAAUAUAUCACCUAUAUAUAAAUGAAUCUAAAAAUAUAAUAAGUAUAAAAAAAGUUAAGACAUAUAUAUCACCAAUAAUCUAAUUGUCAAUGUAUCACUCUUACACUGUCAAACAAAAUGUAUCACCAAUAAUAUAACAACAAAUGUAUCACUAACAGUGUCAACAAAAUGUAUCACCCAUUUAUUGAUAUAACAAAUGUAUCAUUCAUAUGAAUCACCAUUACACUCAUAUAGAGAUAACAAACGUAUCAUUCAUAUGAUUCAAUAUUAUCCUAUGAAAAUGUAAUGAAAAAUUAACAAUUUUAUAUAUGUAUCAAGCGCGUCUUUAAAAAAAAUAUGUAUCACCUAUAUGUAUUAUUGACGAAUCCAAUAGUUGAUUUAGUGAAAAAUUAGGGAUCUGCUCUACUUUUCCUGAUCUUCCAUUUGCAUGUCCAAUUCUUAAAUUACUGCAGCAAAAUCUUUUCUAAUAUUCUUCAUUUUUUCUGGAUCAUUACGAUGCUUUGACCUAUUUCCAGAAAAAUUAAAAAAAAAUGUUGAAAUCCGAAAAUCUCAAAAAAAAAAAAAAGAAAUUUAUCUCGUUUUUGUAUUUGAGCUGAUAGUUGAGACUUAGAUUUAGGAUAUUUUAGUGUGUUUUGUUGCUUCUUGUGUUAGUCCCUUCUUCACUAACACUUAUAGAGUCUAGAACUAAAUUUUGAGUCAUUUUCAAGUAAUUUUUGAACUUUGAAGGUUGCUGUUUUUUGAGGAUUGGUGGCUUGAAAGAGUGUUAUUGCAGUUUGUUGUUGAGAUUGUGGCUUAAAAGCGUUGUUUUUUUAUGUUGUUGUUGAGGGUUGGAGCUUGAAAAAUGUGUUUUUGAUGUGUGGGAUCCAACUUGAACCAUAGAACUUGUCACGACCCGAUUUCUCAAAUCGUGAUGGCGCCUACCUUAUCCCACCAGUAGGCAAGCCAAACCAUAGCCCGGAAUGAUAGGUAAUGGGCUAUUAGGCAGAGACAAAAUAAAAGAUCGCGUAUGAUAAUAACAACCUCAAUAAUAGGUGAAAACUAAGAAGAAAGCAUAUGUAUUAUAUCAAAAUGAGAGGAGGAAAAAGGACCAGCUAUACAAAUGAAUCCCUCCCAAGACCUGAUAAGGUCAGUACUAGAGCCACUACUAACAGGUACCCAGAGUACGAGACAAAAAUCUAAAAUGUACACAAGUAAUCUCAAGUGAAAAAAACUAACUAGGGUAGAUACAGGAGGAUCAGCCUCGGACGACAUUAAGAUUACCCCGCUCUAAACCAGCACUGAAAGGUAAGAACCAUGUCAAUGCCGACUGCUAGUACCUGGAUCUGCAUCAGGAAAAGGAUGCAGAAGUGUAGUAUGAGUACCAAAAACAACGGGUACUCAGUAGGCAUCAUCGGUCGACUGAGCUUAAUACAGAAAAGGUGUAACUACAAUGCAAGGACGCAAUCUGAGUUAUUAGUAAAUAGGGAUGGAAAGCUAAAUAACUACCAAGCUAUGCAACAGCUGUAAAGGAAUAAACUUGUGCAAUACAGAAAAAAAUAAUGAUGCAGUAGUAAAAAAUAAAUCAAACAUAACCUAAUUGAGCCCACAUAAGCCCACUAGGCACAUUAAAGAAGACAAUUAACCCAACUGUACCCCCAUAAGCCGGUGGGACACACAAGUGAUGAAAGUAAACAUAAAUAAUCAGAUGCCGGACUCGAACCGGAUCUCAGAGUAACCCCAACUAUAAUCAAAUGCCGGACUCAAAUCCAAGCUCAUAGUAUCAUAAUAAUCAAUUGCCGGACUCGAACCGACACUUAUAGUAACCAUAACCCACCGAUAAUAUUAAAAUCCAUAUCAUAACAAUAUAAAUGUCUAAAUAAUCAUUCAUUAAUCUUAAUUAAAAAGGGAUAAAUUCAAAUUUUUGCAAUUUAGUUUCACGUUCUAAAGUAAUAGAUGCUAUAUUAUGCUAAAAGAUAAUUUUUCAAUAUUUACUAGAAUGAGGCCCUAAUCCGAAUAAAUAAGACAGUUUAUAUAAAUCCAAUAAUAUGCAUCUACAAGUAUUUAUUCAAAACUAGCAUAAUAGUUCACAAUUUCGGUAUAUAAGCUCAAUCUAAAAGUAGGUAAACCUAGCCUACCUGGACGCCAAAGCUAGAAUAUCUGUCCGCGAAACCUCCGAAUAAUACUAGUAGAACCCGAGCGAGAGAUGCGCGGUAUAUGAUUACAUAUAAGAAUACUAGUACUAGAUUUGCCUUUUUGGUUAAAAAAAGAUUUUCUCUCUUUAUGGAAAGACACUACCAAGUAUGUAUAUAUAUAGAUGUAUAAGAAAAAAGAUAGGCCUUAAUCAAGUGGCACAUGUAGGGCUGUCACCAAGUAAAAUGUUGCUAUCCACAUAUCAAUUUCCACGUGUGGUGGUCAAAAACCACAAGUGAUAAUUUUCUACACUGCGUAGAUAUAUUCGGGUAUUGCCUAAAUUUGUGGUAAAGUAAUUAUAAUAUUUUGAAUAUACCAUAUUUAAUAAAAAAUUAUUUCUAACAAAACCUAUAUUAUAUAAUAAUAAUAUUUUAAUAUUUUUAAAUUUACUAUCUCCGCAUAAAAUAUUAAUAAAUCACAAAAAAAAAUUAUUAUAAAAUAAUGUAAAUAUAUCAUCACUUAAAGAAUGUUAUCAAUAUCAAAAAUAUUCUAGAAAGGUACUAAUUUAUAUUUCUACCAAAUGCCAAAUUAAAUUAAAUAAUCCACGAUACAUUUAAAUAGUACUAAAAUUAUAUGAAAAUACAGAGAAAUGACCGUAAGGGUCAUUACAACAUCCACUACUAAAAGGACGUUCCUCCGCAAAAGUAAAAGAUAAAGCCAUACCUGAAGGCUCAAACAGGUAGGGAUACUGGGCGCGCAUAUCACGCUCGAUCUCCCAGGUAGCCUCCUCAAUUUGACGGUGACGCCACUGAACCUUAACUACCGGAAUAUCCUUGGAGCGCAACCGUCUAACAUCCCUCACCAAAAUAGACGUUGGCUCCUCUACAAACGCCAUUCCCUCGUCCAACUGAACUGAGUCCCACUGAAGUACGUGUGACUCAUCUGGGAUAUACUGCCGCAACAUAAAUACAUGAAACACCGGGUGAAUGGCUGAGAAGGCAGGUGGCAAUGCCAACACAUAAGCUACCUCCCCAACUCCCUGUAGGAUGUCAAAAGGUCCAAUAUAUCUAGGGCUAAGCUUGCCCCUCCUCCCGAACCUCAUCACGCCUUUCAUGGGUGAUACUCGCAGGAAGACCCUAUCACCAACUCUGAAACUCAAUGGACGACGUCUGCGAUCAGCAUAACUCCUCUGUCUGCUCUGAGCUGCUCGUAGCAUAUCCUGAAUCACUCAAACAUGAUCCAACGAAUCACGAAGCAAAUCUGUUCCACGAGGUCUAGCCUCAGAAGUCUCAAACCAACCAACAGGAGAUCGAUAUCUCCUACCAUACAAUGCCUCAAAAGGGGCAAUCUGAAUACUCAAGUGAAAGCUGUUAUUAUAAGCAAACUCUGCCAAAGGUAGAAACUGGUCCCACUGACUCCCAAAAUCCAACAUACAAGCGCGGAGCAUAUCCUCUAGAACCUAGAUAGUCCGCUCUGACUUCCCAUCAGUCUGGGGAUGAAAGGUUGUACUAAGGUCAAACUGGGUCCCCAACUCCUCCUGAAAUGCCCUCCAAAAGCUAGAAGUGAACUGAGAGCCUCGGUCCAAAAUAAUGGACACAGGGACCCCAUGUAGGCGAACCCCCUCGUGAAUGUAAACACGAGCUAACCUCUCGGCACUGUAGGAAACUCGAAUGGGGAUAAAAUGUGCAAACUUGGUCAAUCGAUCCACAAUGACUCAAAUGCUAUCAAAACAAUGCGAUGUACGAGGCAAUCCACCUACGAAAUCUAUAGUAACUUGCUCCCAUUUCCACUCGGGAAUGGGUAGCUGCAGAAGAAAUCCACCAGGUCUCUGAUGGUCAGCCUUUACUUGCUGACAACAAAGACAUCGAGCCACAAACCCUACUAUAUCUCUUCGCAUACCACUCCACCAAUAAUGUUGCCUCAAAUCCCUAUACAUCUUAGCUGUCUCGGGGUGAAUAGAGUAUCUGGAGCUAUGAGCCUCACGAAGAAUCAACUGGAUCAAAUCUCUAACCUUUGGAACACAAAUACGAUCGUCAAACCUUAAGACAACCUCAGAAUCUAGGGUAGCCCGCUGAGACUCACCCCUCAACAUCUGCUCUCGAAGGCUGCGAAGCCUGUCAUCCUCGAACUGACGUCUCUAAAUCUUCUCGAACAAGGUAGAUCUAGCCUCAACACUAGCAAUGAUUCUCCGAGGGUCAGAAAUAUCUAAACGAACCAUCAUGUUAGCUAAGGACUGAAUGUCCAAAGCCAACGGCCACUGAGAAUCUGAAAUGAAAGCUAAGCUACCCAUACUUACUGACUUCUAACUGAAGGCAUCCGCUACCAUAUUCGUCUUGCCCGGAUGGUAGAGAAUAGAGAUAUCAUAGUCUUUUAGCAACUCAAUCCACCUGCGCUGCCUCGAAUUAAGCUCCUUCUGGGUCAUAAUAUACUGAAGACUAUGGUGAUCAGUAAAUAUCUCACAGCGGGCCCCAUACAAAUAAUGCCUCCAAAUCCUAAGUGCAAAUACUACCGCUGCCAACUCUAAGUCAUGAGUUGGGUAAUUGUGCUCAUGCACCUUCAACUGCCUUGACGCAUAUGUAAUAACACGGGCACGCUGCAUCAAAACACACCUCAACCCAACACCAGAUGCAUCGCAAUAAACAGUAAAACCCUCGCCCUCGACAAGAAGAGUCAGAAUAGAAGCUAAAGUAAGCAAAUUCUUGAGCUUCAUAAAGCUUGCCUCAUAACUUGCAGACCACUGAAACAGAACCUCCUUCCUGGUCAAUCUAGUCAUAGGGGCUGCAAUAGAAGAAAAAACUUCAAUGAACCACCUGUAGUAACCUGCCAACCUAAUAAAGAUGCGAACCUCAGAAGGUAACGUAGGCCUAGCCCAACUACGAAUAGCCUCAAUCUUGGCUGGGUCCACCAUAAUACCGUCCUUGGACGCUACGUGCCCUAAGAAAGCUAGAGACUCAAGCCAAAACUCAUAUUUUGAGAACUUGGCAUAAAUCCUGUGGUCUCUCAAAGUGCGAAGUAUAGUCUUCAAAUGCUACUCGUGCUCCUCCUUACUCCUCGAAUAUACCAAAAUAUCAUCAAUAAAUACUAUCACGAAGGAGUCCAAAUAUGGCAUGAACACGUGAUUCAUCAGAUCCAUAAAAGCUGCUGGAGCAUUGGUCAACCCAAAAGACAUCACUAGGAACUCAUAAUGACCAUAACGACUCCUGAAGGCUGUCUUAGGGAUGUCCGCAGCCCGAACUCUCAACUGAUGGUAAUCGAAACUCAAAUCAAUCUUAGAAAACACCGCCGCACCCUGAAGCUGAUCAAACAAAUCAUCGAUGUGAGGCAUAGGAUACUUAUUCUUUACAGUAGCCUUAUUCAACUGCCUGUAGUCGAUACACAUACGCAAGGAGCCAUCUUUCUUCUUCACAAACAAAACUGGAGCACCCCAAAGAGAUACACUCGAUCUGAUAAAUCCCUUACCCAGAAGAUCCUAAAGUUGACUAUGCGGCUCUUUCAACUCAGCAGGAGCCAUACGAUACGGAGCCAUAGAAAUAGGUCGGGUGCCAGGCUCGAGAUCAAUAAUAAACUCUAUAUCACGCUCAGGAGGAAGGCCAGGUAGGUCGGUCGGAAAUACAUCAGAAAACUCGCGAACAACAGGGACGGAGUCAAGUGGGGAACUCUCAAUACUAACAUCCCAUAUAUAUGCAAGAAAAGACUCACAACCCCUCGAUAUCAAUCUCCUAGCCCGAAUGUAUGAAAUAAUCCCCGUCGGUGUGCGGCUAACAGAACCCUGCCACACAACUGGGGGUACUCCAAGCAAAGAUAAGGUAACGGUCUUAGCAAAAUAAUCCAAGACCGCACGGUAAGGAGACAACCAAUUCAUACCUAGAAUCACGUCAAAAUCUACCAUAUCUAGGACAAUAAGGUCAAUAUGAGUAUCAAACUCCCGAAUAGUAACCAAACAAGAUCUAUAUACCCGAUCCACUACUAAAGAGUCACCCACUGGGGCAGCCACACGUAACGGCAUAGAUAAAGACUUCGAACAUAAACCCAGUCGCGAUGCAAAAUAAGUAGAACUACAUAAAAAAGUGGAACCGGGAUCAAACAAAGCAGAAGUUGACUGAUGGAACACGGAAAUCGUACUUGUGAUCACAGUAUUCGAAGCCUCAGCCCCUGAUCUACUUGGAACUGCAUACAAAUUACCCUGUCCACUACUAGACUGGGUAUCUGCCCUACCUCCCUGCAGACCACCUCUAGAACCCUGGGAACCACCUCUAUGACCCUGUAUACCAUCCCUACCUAACGGGGGCACUGAUUUGAUCGGCUGCACAGCCAAAAUUGGAGGCUCAAUCAUCCUACGCCGAGGACACUCACAAGCUAAGUGACCAAUAAAUUCGCAGUCAUAACAUGCCCCAGGCACCCUGCUCUGACUAGAAGGUCCAGCGAAUCCAGAAUGACCACCCCUACUCGACGAUCCUGAUGAACAACCCUCUGCGGCUGGCUGCUACUCUGACCACUGGAACUACAAUAGACUGGCUGACCCCUGUCGGAUAUCUACAGCGAUGCCUUAACUGGCCGACUAGGUUGACCCUAAUACUAAGAAGACUGCUGAUGAGGGUACCGACUGUGAAAUCCUCGGCCUGAGGACUGUGAACCACUCUAACUACCCUGGUAGCGUGGUCUCUUAUCGCUGCCCCCUUGGGUCUCACGAUCCAUAUCCUCUAUGGAAUAAACAUGCUAGGCUAUCUCUGAAAAAGACUUCCCUAAAGUCACCAAACUCUGUGUAGCUCUACGGAGUGACAAUCUCAAUCCCCUAAUAAAGCAUCGACUCCGCUCAUACUCCGUAUCCAGAAUCAUAGUGGCGUGUCUGGCUAACUCAUGGAAUCUCACCUCAUACUCAGCCACCAUCAUAGAGCCCUGUCUCAAUGCGGUAAACUCAUCCCGGAGAUGCUCACGCAUGCUAUGAGAUAUAUACUUCUCCAAGAAAGCCUCGAAGAACUAAGUCCAAGUCACUGGUGGAGAUCCAACUGGCCUGGAAUCAAGAUAACCUGCCCACCACCUCCUCACUGCCAUGUCGAACUGCUAAGAAACAAAGUCUACUCCUCGUGCCUCAACCAGUCCCAAAUUCCGCAACCGUUGCUCGCAACUGGAUAGGAACUCAUAAGCAUCCUCUCUCGGGGUCCCGACAAACCUGGGUGGAGUCAAUCUCAAAAAUCAAUCCAACAUCUUCUGCUCCUCUGUAGACAUAAAUGGUUGGGCUACUACCGGCUGUGGGACUACUGGUGCUGGCGAAACCUCUAACCUAGGUGCCGCUGCCGCAGGCUGUGCCCCUAAAUUUACACCACUCUGUCCUGUUGGCUGAACUCUCAUGACCGGUGGACCACCAACUAACCCCAAUAACUGAACUAAUGUAUCCCGAAUAACCAAAGAAGAUAUAAAUCUGGGUGGAGCCUGGGCUGCCCCCUGGCCCACCUGUUGAUGUGGCGGAAUAUCUAGAGCUAUCUCAAUCCCCAAAGCUAUAACAGGAUCAGGUGCUGGAUCCCUGACCUGAUCUCGAAUAGGGGCUGCUGCUCUACCCUGCCCCUGAUAUCUGGGUCGACCUCGACCCCAAGAUAAAACUCUAGAAGCGGACCCGCGGUCCCGAUCCCCUACUCUUAAACCUCGUGUCCUAGCCAUCUGCGUAAAGAGUGAACCAAUAAAAAGAUUACAACUUAACCAGACUCAAUGCAUAAAAUGGAUCAAGAAAAUAUGAUUAUUUUCCCUAAAAAUUCUUUGUAGCCUCUCAAGGAUAGGAUACAGACGUCUUCGUACCGAUCCGUGGGACUCUACUAAACAUCGACUCCAGUACUAAUAAAACCAGUGUGACCUAAGCUCUGAUACCAACUUGUCAUGACCCGAUUUCUCAAAUCGUGAUGGCGCCUACCUUAUCCCACCAGUAGGCAAGCCAAACCAUAGCCCGGAAUGAUAGGUAAUGGGCUAUUAGGCAGAGACAAAAUAAAAGAUCGCGUAUGAUAAUAACAACCUCAAUAAUAGGUGAAAACUAAGAAGAAAGCAUAUGUAUUAUAUCAAAACGAGAGGAGGAAAAAAGACCAGCUAUACAAAUGAAUCCCUCCCAAGACCUGAUAAGGUCAGUACUAGAGCCACUACUAACAGGUACCCAGAGUAAUAAACAAAAAUCUAAAAUGUACACAAGUAGUCUCGAGUGAAAAAGACUAACUAGGGUAGAUAGAGAAGGAUCAGCCUCGGACGACAGUAAGCUCACCCCGCUCUAAACAAGCACUGAAAGGUAAGAACCACGUCAACGCCGACUGCUAGUACCCGAAUCUGCAUCAGCAAAAAGAUGCAGAAGUGUAAUAUGAGUACCAAAAACAACGGGUACUCAGUAGGCAUCAUUGGCCGACUAAGCUUAAUACAGAAAAGGUGUAACUGUAAUGCAAGGACGUAAUCUGAGUUAUUAGUAAAUAGAGAUGGAAAGGUAAACAACUACCAAGCUAUGCAACUGCUGUAAAGGAAUAAACUUGUGCAAUACAGAAAAAAAUAAUGAUGCAGUAAUAACAAAUAAAUCAAACAUAACCUAACUGAGCCCACAUAAGCCCGCUAGGCACACUGAAGAAGACAAUUAACCCAACCGUACCCCCAUAAGCCGGUGGGACACACAAGUGAUGAAAGUAAACAUAAAUAAUCAGAUACCGAACUCGAACCGGAACUCAGAGUAACCCCAACUAUAAUCAAAUGCCGGACUCGAACCGGUGCUCAUAGUAUCAUAAUAAUCAAUUGUCGGACUCGAACCAGAACUCAUAGUAAUCAUAAUAAUCAAUUGCCGGACUCGAACCGGAACUUAUAGUAACCAUAACCCACCGAUAAUAUUAAAAUCCAUAUCAUAACAAUAUAAAUGUCUAAAUAAUCAUUCAUUAAUCUUAAUUAAAAAGGAAUAAAUUCAAGACUUUUGCAUUUUAGCUUCACGUUUUAAAGUAAUAAAUGUUAUAUUAUGUUAAAAGAUAAUAUUUCAAUAUUUACUAGAACGAGGCCCUAAUCCAGAUAAAUAAGACUGUUUAUAUAAAUCAAAUAAUAUGCAUCUACAAGUAUUUAUUCAAAGCUAGCAUAAUAGUUCACAAUUUCGGUAUAUAAGCUCAAUCUAAAAGUAGGUAAACCUAGCCUACUUGGACGCCAAAGCUAGAAUAUUUGUCUGCGAAGCCUCCGAAUAAUACUAGUAGAACCCGAGCUUGAAAUAAUUGAUUUGGAUAAUUAAUCUUUAAUUUGAUGCUCAAAUGAUGCCAAAUUAUUUUAGCCCAUAAAC
RNAcentral lists this long non-coding RNA (9937 nucleotides) under Capsicum annuum. Its description in RNAcentral is "long non-coding RNA (CANN_LNC022000)". Lineage: Eukaryota; Viridiplantae; Streptophyta; Magnoliopsida; Solanales; Solanaceae. The record is from RNAcentral.